GGUGAUGUAGCUCAGUCGGUAGAGCAUCGGACUGAAAAUCCGUGGGCCGGGGUUCGAGUCCUCUCAUCACCACCU
This 75-nucleotide transfer RNA is filed under the name Cardinium endosymbiont of Dermatophagoides farinae. Its description in RNAcentral is "tRNA-Phe". It matches the Rfam family "tRNA". From Rfam's summary of the family: Transfer RNA (tRNA) molecules are approximately 80 nucleotides in length. Their secondary structure includes four short double-helical elements and three loops (D, anti-codon, and T loops). The record is from RNAcentral. Lineage: Bacteria; Pseudomonadati; Bacteroidota; Cytophagia; Cytophagales; Amoebophilaceae.